CUCGUCAGCCGAGGAAGAAGUUUUGAGCAAUAUGAAGAGAUUGGAUGGGGGAAUUCAGCCAUACAGCCUGCAGGACGUUGCUGCUGCUUUCACUUGGCCUCGAUAGUAACCCAUCUUUAAACAAAGUUUGAUGACUGGAAACAAGACACUCAGACGAGGCUGAAUGUCAGGAGAGACAUGAAUGGAGAGGUCAAACUAGACUGCUGAGGAUACUGCUACGCCUUUGUCAUGGAGGAGCAGGCGCACGAUUUUGAUCAGGCCUUUGCAGGCAGAGAGAGCUGAUACUAGGAUGGCCAAAUGUCACUGAAAUCUACAUCUCUGCUGUUACUGCUGUCACUUUUAGUUAAAAACUGAGAUGGGUUGCCCAAAUAUAAAAGAUCACCUCAUUAGGUUUUAUUCAUGCUUCUAAGCCCAAAUAGAUUCAUAUCACGUUUUUACUGUCUGCCUACGGGUUGCGUUCUCUUUUUCACAAUAAAAUCCCUGGACAUAUACACUGCA
Molecule: long non-coding RNA, 498 nt
Organism: Gymnodraco acuticeps
Lineage: Eukaryota; Metazoa; Chordata; Actinopteri; Perciformes; Bathydraconidae
Exons: 3
Source: RefSeq, a predicted model, not a curated record